Molecule: ribosomal RNA, 447 nt
Filed under: Triticum aestivum (bread wheat)
Lineage: Eukaryota; Viridiplantae; Streptophyta; Magnoliopsida; Poales; Poaceae
Description: partial small subunit ribosomal RNA
Source: RNAcentral
AUGUCUGCGUUGGCAUUAAGUCAAACACCUGGUGGGCGAGCUCCCGCGCCACCUCGCUCUGCGCUCGCGAGCUCACCUCCGCCGCUUCGCCCCGCGAGGUCCCAGCCCCAGCUCGUGGUGCCCGUCGCGCGCGCCCCACCCCCCGCCUCGCUACUCGUCGACGCCCGUGCUCGCAGCUCCCGCCCUGCCUCGCCGGUCGCGCGCUCGCAGCUCCCGCUCGCGCGCCUGGCGCCCGCCCAGCCUUGCUUGAGUCGCGCGCUCGCAGCUCCUGCCCUGCCUUGCUCCGCGCCCUCGUCGGGGAUGCAGCAGCUCCGGGCUGGCCAGCGGUGGCCGGUCGGCGGCGGCGGUCGCGCCGGGGUGCUUCUCGGUGUACGUGGGGCCGGAGCGGGAGAGGUUCGUGGUGCGCGCCGACCGCGCCAACCACCCGCCGAGCAGGAGUACGGCUAA